CAGGACGAACGCUGGCGGCGUGCCUAACACAUGCAAGUCGAGCGAGGAGAUCCUCGGGAUGAUCCUAGCGGCGGACGGGUGAGUAACACGUGGGCAACCUGCCUCAUAGAGAGGAAUAGCCUUCCGAAAGGGAGAUUAAUACCUCAUAACAUUGCAGUUUCGCAUGGAACAGCAAUUAAAGGAGUAAUCCGCUAUGAGAUGGGCCCGCGGCGCAUUAGCUAGUUGGUGAGGUAACGGCUCACCAAGGCGACGAUGCGUAGCCGACCUGAGAGGGUGAUCGGCCACAUUGGGACUGAGACACGGCCCAGACUCCUACGGGAGGCAGCAGUGGGGAAUAUUGCACAAUGGGGGAAACCCUGAUGCAGCCAACGCCGCGUGAGUGAUGACGGCCUUCGGGUUGUAAAGCUCUGUCUUCAGGGACGAUAAUGACGGUACCUGAGGAGGAAGCCACGGCUAACUACGUGCCAGCAGCUGC
Molecule: ribosomal RNA, 475 nt
Filed under: uncultured bacterium
Lineage: Bacteria
Description: bacterial SSU rRNA
Rfam family: Bacterial small subunit ribosomal RNA
Source: RNAcentral